ACAGUUGCUGGCAUGGUUUUCUCUCUCUCUCUCUUGCAGGUUCUAUGUGCCCUAGCAAAUAAAAAGAACAAAGAAGGAAAAAAGGAGGGAAAAUAUGGCAGGUAGAAGUGGUGAUUCAUUCCAUCAACACAGAGCCCAAUGGAUAACCCAGGUGGCAACAGGAAAGAGAAAUAGAAGAAGAAAGAAAAGCAGUAGGAAAGACUGCAAAUGUUCAUGAAAGCCAGUCACCAGAUGAGAAGACCUGCCUGGAGGAAGCUUCACAGGAGAAGGAGCCAUACUGUGCCACCAGGUUCCAGAUGCUAGCAGGAUGCGGAACAGACUUCCCUGGACAGACAACACUACCAAUGUGUCCUGGAGCUCCGCUUCCCCAAUGCCCCACCCCAAUAGGGAAAGAGAGACGCAGGCUGGGAGUAUGGAUCCACCUGUCAACGCCCAUGUUCAGUGAGGAAGCAAUUACAGAAGCCAGACCUUCCACCUUCUGCAUCCCACAAUGACCUUGGGUCCAUACUCCCAGAGGGUUAAAGAAUAGGAAAGCUGGGAGUCAGGCAGUAGCACAGUGGAUUAAGCACACGUGGCCUGAUGUGCAAGGACGGCUAAGGAUCCCAGUUCGAGCCCCCGGCUCCCCACCUGCAG
This is a long non-coding RNA of Erinaceus europaeus (western European hedgehog), 633 nucleotides long. RefSeq lists it as uncharacterized. The transcript is spliced from 3 exons. The record is from RefSeq and is a predicted model, not a curated record. NCBI's taxonomy places the organism in Eukaryota, Metazoa, Chordata, Mammalia, Eulipotyphla, Erinaceidae.